This 86-nucleotide transfer RNA is filed under the name Candidatus Saccharibacteria bacterium HGW-Saccharibacteria-1. RNAcentral's name for it is "tRNA-Tyr". It matches the Rfam family "tRNA". From Rfam's summary of the family: Transfer RNA (tRNA) molecules are approximately 80 nucleotides in length. Their secondary structure includes four short double-helical elements and three loops (D, anti-codon, and T loops). Further hydrogen bonds mediate the characteristic L-shaped molecular structure. tRNAs have two regions of fundamental functional importance: the anti-codon, which is responsible for specific mRNA codon recognition, and the 3' end, to which the tRNAs corresponding amino acid is attached (by aminoacyl-tRNA synthetases). tRNAs cope with the degeneracy of the genetic code in two manners: having more than one tRNA (with a specific anti-codon) for a particular amino acid; and 'wobble' base-pairing, i.e. permitting non-standard base-pairing at the 3rd anti-codon position. The record is from RNAcentral. Lineage: Bacteria; Candidatus Saccharimonadota. RNAcentral also lists the same sequence under 1 other name.
GCUGGGGUAGUGAAGCGGUCAAACACAACAGACUGUAAAUCUGUCGGCUUAUGCCUUCGCAAGUUCGAAUCUUGCCCCCAGUACCA